UUCAUGCUGGUGAGUGUGGUGUCCCAACCACAGACGGAGGGGCUGUCACGCGGCGGGUCCCACCUCCCACUCUGUCAUGGCGGGAUUUUUGUCAUGUUUUUCAGAUUUCUCUGGAAUCCCCUUGGCCAAGAAGGGUCCAUUCAGCUUGUUGGUGCGGGAGCUCAGGAUUUCAUUUUUAGUUCUCACAUGGCAGGUGAGUGAAAACGUUAUAAGGGACUAUCCAAACCUUUCCCGAAGUGGCUGUAGUAUCUUAACUCUCACCAGUCGUGUGUGACAGUUUUGGUGUCUUUAAAAGUCGGUGGUGUCAAGAUUUCACAACUACCUCUUCUGCUGAUUGUGUGGUUCUAUCUGUUCGUGGCUUAAACUUGCAUUUCCCUCAUGACAAAAAGUGUGAAACCAUCAGUCAUGAACUGUCUGUCCAUUCCAAUCUCUUCUGUUCAUUUUUAAAGUGGGGCUGUGUAUCUUUUUAUUGAUUUAUGAUCAUUCUUUCUAUAUUCUGGAUACAAGAUUUUUGUGUGGGAUUUGUUUUGCAGUAUCUCCCCAGACUUCCUGGUCAUUUUCUUUGUAGUGUCUUUUGAUAACUAGAGCAUUUUCCUUCGGAUAAAGCCAAAUUGAUUAUUUUUAAAUGUGCUUGUCACUGCUUUUUCCUCCCUGCCAGGAAGUGUUUGUGCACUCUCAGGUCACACAAGAGAUGGUAAUUUGUCAGUGAGCUGAGGAAGGCAGAUCUGGCCUCAGCUAUGAGGGUGGGUAGCACCCAGCCCAUUGCAGACCCAGACUCCGGAGGUUCCUCUGUCUUCUUGGGCUGGGGCGUCCAUCUCCUCCUGCCCGCAGACACAGGAGUUUCUGGGUCCCAGGCCUUGCGCUCUGGGACUGACACCAGCGGUUUGGGCUUGGACUGAAUGACGCCACCCGCUGUUCGGGUUCACUGGCUUAGGGACAGCGGUUUGUGGGACUUCUCAGCCUCCGUGAUCAAGGAGCCGAUUCCUGUAAUAAAUCUCCUCCUAAACGUAUCGCCCAGCAGCUCUGUUUCUCUGGAGAACCCUGACUCACAUAUGGGGGCCUAGAGGUUUGGUUGUAGCAGGCCCCAGGCCCUGUUCCAGCACCUGGCAGUACCCCCAGCUGAUGGGCCCCAGGUGGGGAGGGACAGCCGGCCUGAGGGAGGUGCCUCCUGGGCCCCACCGUGGGCUCCCGUGCAGACAGGCAGGGUGGGGAGCAAGGACAAGGCUGUCCCCUCCUCUGGCCUCCGUCUACAGGUGGGACUUCUUUCCAGCCCUUUCUGUGGGUGGGGGGUGCACACGGGCAGGCCAGCCCCAGGCGCCCUCAGGACCGCACCCUAGGCCUGCCCUGGGGGGAGUGGGGAUGGGGCUGGGGCCUCACCUUGCUCAGGACCCAACCCUGGUGCAGCUCCACUCCUGGCUUUUCGCCUGCAGGACAGAGGGGCCUGGAGUGGCCUGGCCCUGCCGUGGGCAGCAUGGCGUGGGCAUGCAGGGCGCAGACUGACCACUCUGUUCCCACACCUGGCUCAAGGUGGGUCGAGGGCCUUCCCAGCCUUCUCAGAGCUAACCCAGAGGAGUGCACAGGACAGCUCGUCUCCCCCGAGAGCCACAGGGAGUGCUGGACCCGCCUGAGCGGGGGGCAUAUGGGGCUCAGCACAGCACUGUGGGGCCUGGAUGAGAAGCCGCUGGUCUCUUCUGCCCCUCCCUGACAUUGAGGACUGGAACCUUGGGGAGCCUUGGGUGAGGUCGCCUCCCAGGAAGUCCUGAGCUGAGACAUCGCGGGCCCAUUUUGAGGUGGCUGUGAGGGGUACAGGUGAGUGUACUUGGGGUUCCUUCAAGGCCAGGCCCAGCAGGUCACCUGCAGAAGGCCUUGGGCAGGUGCCCCCCACCCCGUCCUGGAACACCAUUCUUCCCCAUCGCCCCAGAGGACCAGGCCCAGGCAAGGCUGGGAAUGCUUAGCCGACCUGCUCAGCAUGAAGCUCCUGCCCCAACCCCCUCCUUCCAGGUGCCCGGCCUGGGCUCUGCCAGAGGCUGAGGUGCCCAGGGUGUCAGGACGGCCACCCUGAAGGCCCUACCCCUUUAUAGGAAAUAAAGUCUUCUUUCCAAAUUU
Long non-coding RNA from Homo sapiens (human), 2106 nucleotides. RefSeq lists it as uncharacterized. The transcript is spliced from 3 exons. NCBI's taxonomy places the organism in Eukaryota, Metazoa, Chordata, Mammalia, Primates, Hominidae. The record is from RefSeq and is marked validated.